UGGGGAAUAUUGCACAAUGGGCGCAAGCCUGAUGCAGCCAUGCCGCGUGUGUGAAGAAGGCCUUCGGGUUGUAAAGCACUUUCAGCGAGGAGGAGGGUGGUGAGCUUAAUACGCUCAUCAAUUGACGUUACUCGCAGAAGAAGCACCGGCUAACUCCGUGCCAGCAGCCGCGGUAAUACGGAGGGUGCAAGCGUUAAUCGGAAUUACUGGGCGUAAAGCGCACGCAGGCGGUUUGUUAAGUCAGAUGUGAAAUCCCCGGGCUCAACCUGGGAACUGCAUUUGAAACUGGCAAGCUAGAGUCUCGUAGAGGGGGGUAGAAUUCCAGGUGUAGCGGUGAAAUGCGUAGAGAUCUGGAGGAAUACCGGUGGCGAAGGCGGCCCCCUGGACGAAGACUGACGCUCAGGUGCGAAAGCGUGGGGCAGCAAACAGGAUUAGAUACCCUGGUAGUCCAGCGCUGUAAACGAUGUCGAUUUUGGAGGUUGUGCCCUUGAGGCGUGGCUUCCGGAGCUAACGCGUUAAAUCGACCGCCUGGGGAGUACGGCCGC
This 545-nucleotide ribosomal RNA is filed under the name uncultured bacterium. Its description in RNAcentral is "partial 16S ribosomal RNA". It matches the Rfam family "Bacterial small subunit ribosomal RNA", at positions 355 to 889 of the family's 1533-position model. The record is from RNAcentral.